This 4018-nucleotide small RNA is filed under the name Pan troglodytes (chimpanzee). Its description in RNAcentral is "retained intron". The record is from RNAcentral. Lineage: Eukaryota; Metazoa; Chordata; Mammalia; Primates; Hominidae.
GAGAGCCGUGAGGGUGGCCAAGUCCAGUUUGGACCUCUGACCCUUGGGCAGCACCUCCCGACAGCCGGCUCGGGACCCAACUCUGCGAGCCAGGUGAAAAUGAGUUCUUCAGUAAGAAGAAAAGGCAAGCCAGGCAAAGGAGGUGGAAAAGGGUCUUCUAGAGGAGGAAGAGGAGGCAGGAGUCACGCCAGUAAAUCUCAUGGGAGUGGUGGUGGUGGCGGUGGCGGUGGUGGUGGUGGAGGUGGCGGCAACAGAAAGGCCUCCAGUAGAAUAUGGGAUGAUGGAGAUGACUUUUGUAUCUUCAGUGAAUCAAGGCGCCCUUCCAGACCUAGCAACAGUAACAUAAGCAAAGGAGAGUCACGCCCAAAAUGGAAACCCAAAGCCAAAGUACCCCUUCAGACUCUACAUAUGACUUCUGAGAAUCAAGAGAAAGUGAAAGCUCUUCUCCGAGACCUGCAAGAACAAGAUGCUGAUGCCGGAUCUGAAAGAGGCAUUUCUGGGGAGGAGGAAGAUGAUGAGCCUGAUUGCUGUAAUGAUGAGCGGUACUGGCCAGCUGGACAGGAACCUUCCCUCGUUCCCGACUUGGAUCCUUUGGAAUAUGCUGGCUUAGCCUCAGUGGAGCCUUAUGUUCCAGAAUUUACAGUCUCCCCAUUUGCAGUGCAAAAACUUUCCAGGUAUGGUUUCAAUACUGAACGCUGUCAAGCGGUCCUGAGGAUGUGUGAUGGAGAUGUGGGAGCAUCACUAGAGCAUCUCCUUACCCAGUGUUUUUCAGAGACAUUUGGAGAGAGGAUGAAGAUCUCUGAGGCAGUCAACCAGAUAAGCUUGGAUGAGUGUAUGGAACAGCGACAGGAAGAGGCAUUUGCUCUCAAGUCCAUCUGUGGAGAAAAAUUUAUAGAAAGAAUUCAGAACAGAGUCUGGACCAUUGGGUUAGAACUGGAGUAUCUGACAAGUAGAUUCCGCAAAUCCAAGCCAAAAGAAAGUACCAAAAAUGUACAAGAGAAUUCACUUGAAAUCUGUAAAUUUUACCUCAAAGGAAAUUGUAAAUUUGGAUCAAAAUGCAGAUUCAAACAUGAAGUGCCCCCAAAUCAAAUUGUUGGAAGAAUAGAAAGAAGUGUAGAUGAUUCUCAUCUUAAUGCUAUUGAAGAUGCAUCUUUUUUAUAUGAACUUGAAAUUCGAUUUUCUAAAGACCACAAAUAUCCCUACCAAGCUCCCCUCGUGGCAUUUUAUUCCACCAAUGAGAACCUACCUCUGGCUUGUCGUUUACAUAUUUCUGAGUUUCUUUAUGACAAGGCCUUGACAUUUGCAGAAACUUCGGAACCUGUCGUAUAUUCUUUGAUAACCCUUUUAGAGGAAGAGUCGGAAAUAGUCAAGUUACUAACGAAUACCCACCACAAGUAUAGUGACCCUCCUGUGAACUUUCUGCCAGUACCCUCUAGGACCAGAAUAAAUAAUCCUGCCUGUCAUAAACCACUGAUUCCAAAUAAUUCUUUUGUUUCUAAUCAAAUUCCAGAAGUUGAAAAGGCAUCAGAAUCUGAGGAGUCAGAUGAGGAUGACGGUCCUGCACCUGUUAUAGUAGAGAAUGAAAGCUAUGUGAACCUUAAGAAAAAGAUUUCCAAAAGAUAUGACUGGCAGGCAAAGUCAGUACAUGCUGAAAAUGGUAAAAUCUGCAAGCAGUUCCGAAUGAAACAGGCUUCCAGACAGUUCCAGUCCAUUCUGCAAGAGAGGCAAUCACUCCCUGCUUGGGAAGAAAGAGAAACCAUUCUUAACUUAUUGCGUAAGCACCAGGUGGUUGUCAUAAGUGGUAUGACUGGAUGUGGGAAAACCACACAAAUUCCACAGUUUAUUCUGGAUGAUUCUCUGAAUGGACCACCUGAGAAGGUAGCCAACAUCAUCUGUACCCAACCCCGACGAAUCUCUGCAAUCUCUGUUGCUGAACGCGUUGCUAAAGAAAGAGCAGAGAGGGUGGGUCUGACCGUGGGAUACCAGAUUCGGUUAGAAAGUGUCAAGGUUUGUAUGCUCUGCUUAUUUCCUGGUAACAGAAAUUUAUGGUUUUUAGGUAUAAAAAGUUUUGGGGGUUAGGAGAUUCAUGGGCAAUUUGGGAUAUAUACUUUCAGGUUAUUUUUAAAUUAAUGAUUACCUUCAGUAAUCAUUUAUUUAAAUAUUUAGAAAUAUUUAGAAAUAUUUUGGUAUAAGAAGUCAAAUGGCCAGGCGCGGUGGCUCACACCUGUAAUCCCAGCACUUUGGGAGGCCAAGGCAGGUGGAUCACCCGAGGUCGGGAGUUCGAGACCAGCCUGACCAACAUGGAGAAACCCCAUCUCUACUAAAAAUACAAAAAUUAGCCGAGUGUGGUGGCACACGCCUGUAAUCCCAGCUACUUGGGAGUCUGAGGCAGGAGAAUCCCUUGAACCUGGGAGACGGAAGUUGCAAUGAGCCGAGAUUGCGCCAUUGCACUCCAGCCUGGGCAAAAAGAGCAAAAUUCCGUCUCAAAAAAAAAAACAAAAAAACUCUUAUUUGGUUGUACUAAAUUUCCUCUGUAAAGCUUUUUAUUUUUUAUUGGCGGAAGUCAUCUAGUAAAGACUAUUUUGCUCUUGAACUUGGGACAUAAUCCAUUUAACCAAAUAAGGAGCAGACAGAUUGAGAACUGUUUUCAUUAUUCACUGUUUUUUAAUGCUUUUUAUGAAAAUCUUAGCAUUGUGAUAUGAAGUAGAAAGGCUUUUAUUACUGUCCCUGGCAAGAAACUAUGUUUAGUAUGGUUUCCUAUUAAAUGGAACUGCUGGUGUUGUCAAUAUUUUUUAUCACUAUCCAUUCAAAAUGGCUUUCCAGUAAUGUUUCCUUUUUUUGAAAAUUUUAUUAAUGAUUUAUAUUGCCCUUUCAUGUGUAAGUCCUCAGCCACCAGACUGUUAUACUGCACCACGGGAGUGCUGCUGAGAAGGCUAGAAGGAGAUACAGCUCUACAAGGAGUUUCCCAUAUCAUUGUUGAUGAAGUUCAUGAGAGGACAGAAGAAAGGUAAAACAAAGACUUUCCCAGGGAACACACACUCACCUGAAAUGAAGGCAUGGCAGAAAAAAUUGUUUUCUAGUUCCAAUUCAGUUUCAUGCAGCUAGUAAUGGUAAUUUGCCACAAGGAAGGCCUAUGUUAGAGAAGAGCAACUGCUUUCUUGAUCUCCAGGGUCUGUAACACUAAAAAGGACAGCACAUGCUCAUCACUUAUUAGAUGGAGUCAUCCUGUUAGGUUAGAAGGUAUACUUCACACCAUCCUGGGCAUUAUGCUAAGUUGAAUACUGUACUUAGUAGAAAUAACAGAUGUCAUGCAUGCUGUGGCUGAAUGUAUCUUCUUCCAUGUUUAUUUGGCCAUUCAGUCCUGACAUUGAUUCAUGUAUUUAUUGAGCCUGCAUUAAAUGCCAAGUGAUAUGUUAGUUGCUGGGGAUACAGUGAUGAACAAGCAUGUAUGGCUCCCCCUCAUCUCUUACAGUCCAGUAGAAAAAACAAAUAAUGAACAAGUAAACAAGCAAAUGAUUGUAAAUUGGAAUAAGCACUAUGAAGGAAUAAACGGCAUGCUGUGUUUGGAGGGAGAGACCCAUAGAUGCUCAAAGAUCAUAUCUCUGUAAGAUGACAAUUUAAAUUCAAAACUGAAGUAUGGCCGGGCGCAAUGGCUCACACCCAUAAUCCCUGCACUUUGGGAGGCCAAGGUGGGAGGAUCGCUUGAGCCCAGGAGUUGGAGCCCCACCUGGGCAACAUAGUGAGACCAUGUUUCCAUGAAAAGUUAAAAAAAGAAGAAGAAAAAAAAAAUAGCCAGUAGUCAUUCUACUGGGGAUACAGAAAAAAAAAAAAAAAAAAAAAAUUAGCCAGGCGUGAUGCCUCACACCUAAGGUCCCAGCUACUCAGGAGGCUGAGGCAGGAGAAUCAAUUGAGCCUCCAGGAGGUUGAGGCUGCAGUGAGCUGUGAUAGCACCACUGCACUCCACCCUGGUCAAGAAAGCAAGACCCUGUCUCAAAAAAAAAAAGAAAAGAAAAGAAAA